Molecule: long non-coding RNA, 1361 nt
Organism: Photinus pyralis (common eastern firefly)
Lineage: Eukaryota; Metazoa; Arthropoda; Insecta; Coleoptera; Lampyridae
Exons: 4
Source: RefSeq, a predicted model, not a curated record
UAAAUACACCAUAGGAAUUGCAUGACGAACAGUUGAGUUUUAUCAUUGAAUACUGUGUUUUUAUUCAAUGGUUUUAUUUAAUCACAUUUCACAGAGGGGGAUACGUUUCAGUUUGUGAAAACGAAUAGCGACCGAUAUUUUUAUUGCAAAAAAUUAUUAUUAUCAGGUAUGCUUUAUCACAAUAAUAUAAAUAGUAAUUUCAGUAAAAAUACAAACUGCCUCUAAAAAUGAGCACUCAGAUUGUAAAUCAAACUAGAAAAAUAGCGGGAAUUUUGAUAACUAAAUCAGAAAUCAUAUUACAUUUUGGUAUUAUUCGAAAAAACAUCAAGUCAGUGUAAAAGGAAUCGUUUCUGGUUUCAUAAUGAAAAUCUAAGUAAGUUUGACAAUAAUUUGGCCAUUUUUAAAUGUUACCUAACAACGUUUAAAAGCAUCAAAAACAAUUACUCAAAAUGUUACAAAGCUUUACACUCCUGUGACCUUGUGCACAUAGCUUCCAUUACAACGACAGACGGGACACGCUUAUCUUAAACAACGGUAUUACAUACCUUCGUGUAAGGACGUAAGUAUGUAAAUUAGUUAGUUACAAACGUAAACAAAUGUAAAGCUAAUUCUUAUUGUUUUCUAGACGAUACUGUACGCCAUUUUCAAAUUGUUUUACACCAUAAAUAUUUUGUUACCUUUGUUAGACCUCCUGAAUAUUGAAUCCUGAAUAUCUUUACUACAACGAAUAGUACGGGAAAUCGAUGAUGAUAUGCUUGUGAUAUUGAAUGAUGAACAUACAAAAAUGGGUAUUCUUGUGUAUGGAUUAUAUAACGUUCUUCCAACAUACAACUAGUACCAGUCGACAUUGACUAGGAAGAUUAUUAAAAGAAGAAAAAGAAGAAGAGAUUUCCUUCGUAAUAUUCAGCAUGUGUCUAAUCGUGCACGGCUGGACCGCAAGGGAACAAGUUGAGAUGGAUCCAAAUGAUCCAGAUGUUUGCGUUCACGAGACAAUAGGAAGAUUUAGAGUUGGGGAAUCCAAAUCACUACAUCCCAAACAAUGUAUAAGGGCAACAUGUGAAAGGGGAAUGGUAUCGAAGGCUGGAUGCGGAACCGUUUUAACCAAGCCACCAUGUCAUGUUGGGUCUACAGAUUUGAGCAAACCAUACCCGGAUUGCUGUCCCAAAGUUAUUUGUCCAAAGAAUUGAUAUAUCAAUAGUCUUAGGGAGUGUAGUUUAGUUUCUUAGAUAUCUAUAUAGAUAUUAAAAAUGAAUUUGGUUUAUAACUUCUGCACUACACAUUUUGUACAAUGGUGCAGAUAAUAGUUUUACAAGUAAAGACACGUCCAAAAAUACAAUUUGUAACAGAUCUGGUUUGAAACC